Molecule: non-coding RNA, 555 nt
Filed under: Drosophila sechellia
Lineage: Eukaryota; Metazoa; Arthropoda; Insecta; Diptera; Drosophilidae
Description: Eukaryotic small subunit ribosomal RNA
Rfam family: Eukaryotic small subunit ribosomal RNA
Source: Rfam by way of RNAcentral
CUGGUUGAUCCUGCCAGUAGUUAUAUGCUUGUCUCAAAGAUUAAGCCAUGCAUGUCUAAGUACACACGAAUUAAAAGUGAAACCGCAAAAGGCUCAUUAUAUCAGUUAUGGUUCCUUAGAUCGUUAACAGUUACUUGGAUAACUGUGGUAAUUCUAGAGCUAAUACAUGCAAUUAAAACAUGAACCUUAUGGGACAUGUGCUUUUAUUAGGCUAAAACCAAGCGAUCGCAAGAUCGUUAUAUUGGUUGAACUCUAGAUAACAUGCAGAUCGUAUGGUCUUGUACCGACGACAGAUCUUUCAAAUGUCUGCCCUAUCAACUUUUGAUGGUAGUAUCUAGGACUACCAUGGUUGCAACGGGUAACGGGGAAUCAGGGUUCGAUUCCGGAGAGGGAGCCUGAGAAACGGCUACCACAUCUAAGGAAGGCAGCAGGCGCGUAAAUUACCCACUCCCAGCUCGGGGAGGUAGUGACGAAAAAUAACAAUACAGGACUCAUAUCCGAGGCCCUGUAAUUGGAAUGAGUACACUUUAAAUCCUUUAACAAGGACCNNNNNNN